GGAGGCGCAGGGCGCGAACGAGAGGAGAAGGUUGAGCAUCCCGCCGACGACAUCGUUUCGAGCUCAAGAUACAUGCAACAAUUGAGGUUUCAUGUGCAAGGAAGCAAAGAAGAUGCGAGACCGUUUUUCUUUUGGAAUAGAAGAAUCAAAGGAUACACCGACCGAGUCAGUCUGAACUUCGAUUAAAUAUGAUAUGCGUGUUUACAAAUCUUUCCUUCAUGAAUAUUUUGAAACCUUCACAUUAUGCUGAUAUGUAUUUUCUGGCAGAGCAGUCUUCAACAUUGACGGUUACCAUUUUUAUUUUUUAUCUCAGCUCGUGAGAUUUCUCUACUGUCCUGACACAAAUUUACUCUAUAUGAUGAAUCCAAGGCUCAGUAUAAGGAUUUCCUGAUUUAUUAUUUGCCGCAUCUGGUGUUUCUCAUCUUAGCAUGAAUUUGAAGUGUCACCUUUUGCAUCCAAGUAAUACUAUUGGUUCACAUUGAUCCUAUCUACCAUGUACCAAAUCACUCACUUUUCUAAAUACUGAUAUGGAAUUAACCUUUGGUUACAACCCUAUUUGGUUUUGAGUUACAAAAUGUCCUUAUUUAAGAUUUUGCUUCUUAACAUGUUGCGUUACCAGCUCAUCCACUGAGGAUUUUGAAAUAUGAUAGUACUCUUCCUCUGUUUUCUUUAUCUUUUAUUUACAAGUUAGUUCUAUUGUGAGGAGAAGCUUUGGAAGUGGUUAAUCAGUUCAGUAAGAUAAUUUGAGGUCGACGAGCAGAUUGAUUGCUCAUAUAUCCACCUUAAGAUGGCCACAACGUAUUUCAGAUUUUAGCACAUUAGCUGCCAUCGUUUUGUGAUUUCAGAAAUAUAUUUCAUGUGCUGGAUGGCCUCACUCUUUUAUUGGGUUGUUUUCAGUUAAAGGUUAGAAGACAUGCCAAAUAAUGGAUACUUCUCAAUCAAAUGAACAAACAUGCUAUCCGCCGAGCUUCAAGACUGAAGGGAUAGAUAACCACAACUUCUAAUGACCUAUACCAGCGAUUGAUUGUAGCAUACUGGAUUCCUAAUGCUGACAGGAAUAGCCGCCAUGGCGAUAUUUACAGGCUGUGCACUGAGAUCGAAUAGUCUACAUCAUGCCUCUGGUCGGAACAAAUAAAAAAAAUUGUGGGCUGGACUGAAGUAUCGAAACACACUUGGGAUUUCUGUUUCCUGUAACAUUUUAUUUGGGGAGUUUGUGACUUCUAGACCUGAAUGGUUGUGCAUGGACCAGAAUAUGAAUGAAGGAUACUUUAGUAACAUUUAU
Molecule: long non-coding RNA, 1282 nt
Organism: Triticum dicoccoides
Lineage: Eukaryota; Viridiplantae; Streptophyta; Magnoliopsida; Poales; Poaceae
Exons: 5
Source: RefSeq, a predicted model, not a curated record